UACGUAGGGUGCGAGCGUUAAUCGGAAUUACUGGGCGUAAAGCGUGCGCAGGCGGUUCGUUGUGUCGGCGGUGAAAGCCCCGGGCUUAACCUGGGAAUGGCCGUUGAAACUGGCGAACUGGAGUGUGGCAGAGGGGGGUGGAAUUCCGCGUGUAGCAGUGAAAUGCGUAGAGAUGCGGAGGAACACCCGUGGCGAAGGCGGUUCUCUGGGACGGUACUGACGCUGAGACGCGAAAGCGUGGGGAGCGAACAGG
Molecule: ribosomal RNA, 253 nt
Filed under: uncultured bacterium
Lineage: Bacteria
Description: partial 16S ribosomal RNA
Rfam family: Bacterial small subunit ribosomal RNA
Source: RNAcentral